UUGGAGUUUCAGAUAGACAUCAUCACCAAUCUGAAAUUGCCUAUCUGAUAUGUGUUUGUUUUCCUGUUGUUGCAUUUUGUUUUAUGCCUUGAGCAGGUGAAAUUUCAUAAGCUUAAUGGCUCUCUCUUGCAGCUAAAGACUUGUUAACAGUAGUUGACUGUGAUUCACCAGGUAAAUAUGGAAAAUGCAGUGGAGGUGGUAGGUCAUAGACCAUUUCAAAUGGAGUAGUGUGAAUAAAGGAAUGGAAGUUGGUGUUAUACCACAUCAAUGGCAGCAGUUCAACC
RNAcentral lists this long non-coding RNA (284 nucleotides) under Lathyrus oleraceus (garden pea). RNAcentral describes it as "Pisum sativum (pea) long non-coding RNA (PSAT_LNC008578)". Lineage: Eukaryota; Viridiplantae; Streptophyta; Magnoliopsida; Fabales; Fabaceae. The record is from RNAcentral.